This 393-nucleotide ribosomal RNA is filed under the name uncultured bacterium. Its description in RNAcentral is "partial 16S ribosomal RNA". It matches the Rfam family "Bacterial small subunit ribosomal RNA", at positions 523 to 918 of the family's 1533-position model. The record is from RNAcentral.
AUACGGAGGAUCCUAGUGUUAUCCGGAUUUAUUGGGUUUAAAGGGAGCGUAGGCGGGAGGUCAAGUCAGCUGUGAAAUGUAUCUGCUUAACGGGUACACUGCAGUUGAAACUGGUUUUCUUGAGUGCGUAAGAGGCAGGCGGAAUUCGUUGUGUAGCGGUGAAAUGCUUAGAUAUGACGAGGAACUCCUAUUGCGAAGGCAGCUUGCUGGGUCGUUACUGACGCUGAUGCUCGAAUGUGCGGGGAUCAAACAGGAUUAGAUACCCUGGUAGUCCGCACAGUAAACUAUGGAUACUCUCUGCCGGCGAUAUAUUGUCGGUGGCCAAGCGAAAGCGUUAAGUAUCCCACCUGGGGAGUACGUUCGCAAGAAUGAAACUCAAAUGAAUUGACGGGG